UACGUAGGGGGCUAGCGUUGUCCGGAAUCAUUGGGCGUAAAGCGCGUGUAGGCGGCCCGGUAAGUCCGCUGUGAAAGUCGGGGGCUCAACCCUCGAAUGCCGGUGGAUACUGUCGGGCUAGAGUGCGGAAGAGGCGAGUGGAAUUCCUGGUGUAGCGGUGAAAUGCGCAGAUAUCAGGAGGAACACCAAUUGCGAAGGCAGCUCGCUGGGACGUGACUGACGCUGAGACGCGAAAGCAUGGGGAGCGAACAGG
This 253-nucleotide ribosomal RNA is filed under the name uncultured bacterium. RNAcentral's name for it is "partial 16S ribosomal RNA". It matches the Rfam family "Bacterial small subunit ribosomal RNA", at positions 524 to 776 of the family's 1533-position model. The record is from RNAcentral.